GAUGAACGCUGGCGGCGUGCCUAAUACAUGCAAGUCGAACGAAACUUCUUUAUCACCGAGUGCUUGCACUCACCGAUAAAGAGUUGAGUGGCGAACGGGUGAGUAACACGUGGGCAACCUGCCCAAAAGAGGGGGAUAACACUUGGAAACAGGUGCUAAUACCGCAUAACCAUAGUUACCGCAUGGUAACUAUGUAAAAGGUGGCUAUGCUACCGCUUUUGGAUGGGCCCGCGGCGCAUUAGCUAGUUGGUAGGGUAAAGGCUUACCAAGGCAAUGAUGCGUAGCCGAACUGAGAGGUUGAUCGGCCACAUUGGGACUGAGACACGGCCCAAACUCCUACGGGAGGCAGCAGUAGGGAAUCUUCCACAAUGGGCGAAAGCCUGAUGGAGCAACGCCGCGUGGGUGAAGAAGGUCUUCGGAUCGUAAAACCCUGUUGUUAGAGAAGAAAGUGCGUGAGAGUAACUGUUCACGUUUCGACGGUAUCUAACCAGAAAGCCACGGCUAACUACGUGCCAGCAGCCGCGGUAAUACGUAGGUGGCAAGCGUUAUCCGGAUUUAUUGGGCGUAAAGGGAAUCGCAGGCGGUCUUUUAAGUCUGAUGUGAAAGCCUUCGGCUUAACCGGAGUAGUGCAUUGGAAACUGGGAGACUUGAGUGCAGAAGAGGAGAGUGGAACUCCAUGUGUAGCGGUGAAAUGCGUAGAUAUAUGGAAGAACACCAGUGGCGAAAGCGGCUCUCUGGUCUGUAACUGACGCUGAGGUUCGAAAGCGUGGGUAGCAAACAGGAUUAGAUACCCUGGUAGUCCACGCCGUAAACGAUGAAUGCUAAGUGUUGGAGGGUUUCCGCCCUUCAGUGCUACAGCUAACGCAAUAAGCAUUCCGCCUGGGGAGUACGACCGCAAGGUUGAAACUCAAAGGAAUUGACGGGGGCCCGCACAAGCGGUGGAGCAUGUGGUUUAAUUCGAAGCAACGCGAAGAACCUUACCAGGUCUUGACAUCUUUUGACAAUCCUAGAGAUAGGACUUUCCCUUCGGGGACAAAAUGACAGGUGGUGCAUGGUUGUCGUCAGCUCGUGUCGUGAGAUGUUGGGUUAAGUCCCGCAACGAGCGCAACCCUUAUUGUUAGUUGCCAGCAUUAAGUUGGGCACUCUAGCAAGACUGCCGGUGACAAACCGGAGGAAGGUGGGGAUGACGUCAAAUCAUCAUGCCCCUUAUGACCUGGGCUACACACGUGCUACAAUGGACGGUACAACGAGUUGCAAGACCGCGAGGUUUAGCAAAUCUCUUAAAGCCGUUCUCAGUUCGGAUUGUAGGCUGCAACUCGCCUACAUGAAGUCGGAAUCGCUAGUAAUCGCGGAUCAGCAUGCCGCGGUGAAUACGUUCCCGGGCCUUGUACACACCGCCCGUCACACCAUGAGAGUUUGUAACACCCAAAGCCGGUGGGGUAACCUUUUGGAGCCAGCCGUCUAAGGUGGGACAGAUGAUUAGGGUGAAGUCGUAACAAGGUAGCCGUAGGAGAACCUGCGGCUGGAUCACCUCCUUUCUAAGGAUAAUUUCGGAAACCUGCACUUUUAUCGUAAGCUUUGUUUAGUUUUGAGAGGUCUACUCUCAAACUUGUUCUUUGAAAACUAGAUAAUAUCUUUUAUUUCUUUGUUAAUUAAAAUAACCGAGAACACCGCGUUUUAAAGAGUUUAAAACAUUUAAUGUUUGAUCGCUAAACUCAUAACCAUUAUCGUAAGAUAAUAUAGGUUAAGUUAUUAAGGGCGCAUGGUGGAUGCCUUGGCACUAGGAGCCGAUGAAGGACGUGACUAACUGCGAUAAGCUUCGGGGAGUUGUAAGUAAACUGUGAUCCGGAGAUUUCCGAAUGGGGAAACCCAGCAGGAGUAAAGACCUGUUAUCACUGAGUGAAUACAUAGCUCAGUUGAAGGUAGACGUGGGGAACUGAAACAUCUAAGUACCCAUAGGAAGAGAAAGAAAAUUCGAUUCCCUGAGUAGCGGCGAGCGAAAAGGGAACAGCCCAAACCAGAGAGCUUGCUCUUUGGGGUUGUAGGACUGGACAUUUGAGUUACCAAGAAACGAAGUAGUUGAAUGAUUUGGGAAGAUCAGCCAGAGAAGGUGAUAGCCCUGUAAGCGAAACUUCGUUUCCUCAGCCCAGUAUCCUGAGUACGGCGGAACACGUGAAACUCCGUCGGAAUCCGGGAGGACCAUCUCCCAAGGCUAAAUACUCCCUAGUGACCGAUAGUGAACC
This 2243-nucleotide ribosomal RNA is filed under the name uncultured Lactobacillus sp. Its description in RNAcentral is "partial contains 16S ribosomal RNA, 16S-23S ribosomal RNA intergenic spacer, and 23S ribosomal RNA". The stretch from base 1 to 1538 matches the Rfam family "Bacterial small subunit ribosomal RNA". Lineage: Bacteria; Bacillati; Bacillota; Bacilli; Lactobacillales; Lactobacillaceae. The record is from RNAcentral.